CAUUGACCUCUGGUUUAAUAAUGGCUGGUGAUAGAAAACUAUCAGGAAUGCUUCAAGCUGGCAAUGGAGGGAAAUGUAAAAGACACUGAGAAAUCACAAGGUUUCAAACAUCUAGAAUAUGCUCACAGUCAGUCUUCAAGAUACUCACCUUAAUGGUUCCAGUGUGUUUUAUGAGACUUUGUCAGAACAGAAC
Long non-coding RNA from Mya arenaria, 193 nucleotides. RefSeq lists it as uncharacterized. Lineage: Eukaryota; Metazoa; Mollusca; Bivalvia; Myida; Myidae. The transcript has 3 exons. The record is from RefSeq and is a predicted model, not a curated record.